CCUACGGGGGGCUGCAGUGGGGGAUAUUGCACAAUGGACGAAAGUCUGAUGGAGCAACGCCGCGUGAGCGAAGAAGGUCUUCGGAUCGUAAAGCUCUGUUGUUAGGGAAGAACAAGUACGGGAGGAAAUGACCGUACCUUGACGGUACCUGACGAGGAAGCCACGGCUAACUACGUGCCAGCAGCCGCGGUAAUACGUAGGUGGCAAGGGUUGUCCGGAAUUAUUGGGCGUAAAGGGCGCGCAGGCGGUCGUUUAAGUCGGAUGUGAAAUCGUGCGGCUCAACCGCAAGCGGGCAUUGGAAACUGGGAGACUAGAGGGCAGAAGAGGAAAGCGGAAUUCCACGUGUAGCGGUGAAAUGCGUAGAGAUGUGGAGGAACACCAGUGGCGAAGGCGGCUUUCUGGUCUGUAACUGACGCUGAGGCGCGAAAGCGUGGGGAGCAAACAGGAUUAGAUACCCGGGUAGUC
Molecule: ribosomal RNA, 465 nt
Filed under: uncultured bacterium
Lineage: Bacteria
Description: bacterial SSU rRNA
Rfam family: Bacterial small subunit ribosomal RNA
Source: RNAcentral